AGGGCACCACCAGGAGUGGAGCCUGCGGCUUAAUUUGACUCAACACGGGAAAACUCACCCGGCCCGGACACUGGAAGGAUUGACAGAUUGAGAGCUCUUUCUUGAUUCAGUGGGUGGUGGUGCAUGGCCGUUCUUAGUUGGUGGAGUGAUUUGUCUGGUUAAUUCCGAUAACGAACGAGACUCUAGCCUACUAAAUAGAUCGUCGGCUUACAAACGCCGGCGAGACUUCUUAGAGGGACAGGCGGUGAUUCAACCGCACGAAACAGAGCAAUAACAGGUCUGUGAUGCCCUUAGAUGUCCGGGGCCGCACGCGCGCUACACUGAAGUGAUCAGCGUGCUUUUUCAACCUACUCUGUCAAGAGUGGGGAACCCAAUGAACCUUCUUCGUGAUUGGGAUAGGGGAUUGUAAUUACUCCCCUUGAACGAGGAAUUCCCAGUAAGCGCGAGUCAUAAGCUCGCGUUGAUUACGUCCCUGCCCUUUGUACACACCGCCCGUCGCUACUACCGAUUGAAUGUUUU
RNAcentral lists this ribosomal RNA (519 nucleotides) under uncultured eukaryote. Its description in RNAcentral is "SSU rRNA". It matches the Rfam family "Eukaryotic small subunit ribosomal RNA", at positions 1161 to 1699 of the family's 1831-position model. The record is from RNAcentral.